Molecule: ribosomal RNA, 325 nt
Filed under: uncultured Verrucomicrobiota bacterium
Lineage: Bacteria; Pseudomonadati; Verrucomicrobiota
Description: bacterial SSU rRNA
Rfam family: Bacterial small subunit ribosomal RNA
Source: RNAcentral
AACGAACGCUGGCGGCGUGUUUAAGACAUGCAAGUCGCACGGUGUCAUUUUGGUAGCAAUACUUGGAUGGCAUAGUGGCGCACGGGUGAGUAACACGUGAAUGACAUGCCCUUGAGAGGGGGAUAGCCCAGGGGAAACUUGGAUUAAUACCCCAUGGUCUCGCAGGAGUAAAGGUGGCCGCAAGGCUGCCGCUCAAGGAUUGGUUCGCGUUCUAUCAGCUUGUUGGCGGGGUAACGGCCCACCAAGGCGACGACGGGUACCUGGUCUGAGAGGACGAUCAGGCACACUGGAACUGAGACACGGUCCAGACACCUACGGGAGGCUG